RNAcentral lists this ribosomal RNA (318 nucleotides) under Triticum aestivum (bread wheat). RNAcentral describes it as "partial small subunit ribosomal RNA". The record is from RNAcentral. Lineage: Eukaryota; Viridiplantae; Streptophyta; Magnoliopsida; Poales; Poaceae.
AUGGUUAUGAGGUUGAAACAAGAAGGAAAAGGAAGAAUUGGAUGGAAAGAAAGGUAUGCUCUGUUUAUACUUACAUGGGGUGGUGGUUCUUGCACUUCCAUUGGAUCUGGAUUCAUGCUGAGAAAUGAACAAAACCAAACAAACAAAAAUGAGAAACCAAAAAGAAACAAAAACAAGGAACGGGGGAGGAGGAAGAAACAUACCUCGGCUCUCUUUUCUCCUCUUCGUCUUCUCCCAGAGCGAGCCAAGGAGCAGCAGCAGAGCAGCGCGAGCCAAGGAGGGCGGCGGCGAGAUCUAGGGUUUCGGCUGUGGGAAUAG